Lupinus angustifolius (narrow-leaved blue lupine) is the source of this 79-nucleotide small nucleolar RNA. It matches the Rfam family "Small nucleolar RNA J33". From Rfam's summary of the family: J33 is a member of the C/D class of snoRNA which contain the C (UGAUGA) and D (CUGA) box motifs. Most of the members of the box C/D family function in directing site-specific 2'-O-methylation of substrate RNAs. Lineage: Eukaryota; Viridiplantae; Streptophyta; Magnoliopsida; Fabales; Fabaceae. The record is from Rfam.
CAGUUAGGGGGAUGAUGUAUUAUUACAGGGCUCUUCAGAUGCUUGCCUUUCUUGAUUCAGCAUCAGAAAUGGAUGUAAG